UGGUUGAUAUGCUCUUAUCAUCCUAAACCUUUGACAUUCAAAAUUUAUUCUUAAGUUAUUCCUAAGGGAUAAUGAAUAAAGUAGAAUAGCAGAGCCAAAUAUUAAAACUUAGUAAAAAACUUUCAGACUACCAAUAAAUACGUGACAGAAUGCAUAUACUUCAAAAUAGCGUUUCAUUAUGAGAAUAAAGAACUUAACAUGUUAUAUAGAGGGCGGUGGCAAUCUAUUACACAUUAGGAGGAAUUGGGUAUCGUGGAUAGUUUGUACCAAAGACCUGACUCCAACAAUGAGAAAAUCAAAAAAAAAAUCUCGUUGGCAACCUGUGGAUCGAACACGGGACGUCGUGUGCCAAAACAUACAUUUCUACACACUAGACACCUUUUAAUGACCUAUUGUAUAGAUUGCAAAAUAAAAAAUUGUUUUUUUUUAUAAAUAAAACUAAACUUUUCAAAAUAAAUAUUAAAAAAAAUUUUUAUUUUUAUUAUAGCGCUUU
Daktulosphaira vitifoliae (grape phylloxera) is the source of this 493-nucleotide long non-coding RNA. RefSeq lists it as uncharacterized. NCBI's taxonomy places the organism in Eukaryota, Metazoa, Arthropoda, Insecta, Hemiptera, Phylloxeridae. The transcript is spliced from 3 exons. The record is from RefSeq and is a predicted model, not a curated record.